This 529-nucleotide ribosomal RNA is filed under the name uncultured bacterium. RNAcentral's name for it is "bacterial SSU rRNA". It matches the Rfam family "Bacterial small subunit ribosomal RNA", at positions 524 to 1050 of the family's 1533-position model. The record is from RNAcentral.
UACGUAGGAGGCUAACGUUAUUCGGAUUUACUGGGCGUAAAGCGCGUGCAGGCGGUUCGGUAAGUUGGACGUGAAAGCUCCCGGCUCAACUGGGAGAGGUCGUUCAAUACUGCCGGGCUAGAGGAUGGUAGAGGGAGGUGGAAUUCCGGGUGUAGUGGUGAAAUGCGCAGAUAUCCGGAGGAACACCAGUGGCGAAGGCGACCUCCUGGGCCAUUCCUGACGCUCAGACGCGAAAGCUAGGGUAGCGAACGGGAUUAGAGACCCCGGUAGUCCUAGCCGUAAACGAUGUGAACUUGGCGUCGGUGGGAUUAAAUCCAUCGGUGUCGAAGCUAACGCGAUAAGUUCACCGCCUGAGGACUACGGCCGCAAGGUUAAAACUCAAAGGAAUUGACGGGGACCCGCACAAGCAGCGGAGCGUGUGGUUUAAUUCGUUGCUACGCGAAGAACCUUACCUGGGUUUGACAUAUAGGUUGUAGGGAACUGAAAAGGGACCGACCCUUCGGGGAGCCUAUACAGGUGUUGCAUGGCU